UCCAUCGAAGUUCUCAGUUACUAAGGCUUUGGAGCCAUUUGGUAUAGUUCAUAAAAAACGUUUCUAGCGUUUUUUCGUGUCAAUAGAACGAAAAAACGCUGAAAACUGUUUGGUAUGUUUAGGCUCCGUUCCAAUUUUUUCGAAACGGAAGUGUGGUAAGAAACGAAUAUGGCCCGAUUUCACGAAACGCUCAGAGGCUGUUCCGUCGGCCACGUUUCGUUCCAAAUUAAUAGUGGAAGGAACUUUCGUUCCCGAUUGUCCGCCGCGAUAGAGAGAGGAUAGCAGAGAGGAAAGAAGAACGAGCGCCCUGUACAAGAAAUCUUCACCAAAGAGACAGAGAUCGAUUAGCUUAACAAAUUGCUGGUUUCGAAUAGUUUCGAACUCGCACAGAGAGAGGAGAGAAGAAGGAGAAGAAGGAGCUCGCCCCCUUGUGGAAUCUCCUCAGCAGAGCAGGUAUUGGGACAAAUUUUAGGGUUUUUCUAGACCCCUUAUACAGAGAGGUAAAGUCUUCUUCUUCUCUUCUAUUUCGUCUUCUUCUCUUCUAUUUCUUCUUCUUCUCCUUUGCUUCCUGAAUCCAUACACCUCCUGUAUGCGUCUUCUUCCCCAUUUCUUAUUGUUUCUCUGUUUUUUUGAUUUACCUGUUGUUAACGAGUCAACCGAGUGGUGAGAGAUUUGUUGAAUCUCUUUCAUACCUGUUUUUUCUAAUAUGCAUUUCAUAAGAAAGACUACCUUCCACCCCAUGGACUGUGGAAUUUUAUGAAGCUUAAAGCAUAUCAAGUUAUCUAAUAGUACUGUACACAAAGAAAAACUCACAUUUUGGACAAUUCUCUGUGUAAAUAGCAUCCCAUAUCCUCCUAGCUGAUGGAACAGUAUAGCCAGUGAAUCGUUCAGGGUUCAGUUGGAGAUUUACAUAUGUCAUCUCAGCUGCAAACACAAAUAAGUGUAUAGUUUCUCUCAGUUUUGUCAAGAUGAAGCAUAAUGUACAACUACAAUGACAACAUUCUAUACUAGAACAAUAAAUCAGAAAACAUGGAUUGCUAACUAUGGCC
Molecule: long non-coding RNA, 1049 nt
Organism: Macadamia integrifolia
Lineage: Eukaryota; Viridiplantae; Streptophyta; Magnoliopsida; Proteales; Proteaceae
Exons: 3
Source: RefSeq, a predicted model, not a curated record